AAAAAAUAUAUUUUUUUAUAUUAAUUAAAUUGCAUGACCCAUUAGAUUUAAUAAUAUAUUUUAAAUUUAUAAUUGCUUGAUUGCAUUUGUCCUUUGUAAGAUGCAUUUUUAAGAUAUCGAAUAAGCUUUCUUAUUUCUUUUUCUUCUCGUUCUUCUAUUUCAUCUUAGUUUUAUUUAGUGCGAAAAUGUAUUAAAAAAUGUGGGCAAUAGAGGAAUCAACUAAUCACAAUAUUUUUUUCAAUCUGAUCCACUUUGAGAUUUAUUAUUAUUUUUUAACUUACGGCGUACUGUGCGCUCAAGUUUCUUUUUCUUAUUCGGGCUUCUCUGCCGAUGACUCCUACGCCGCAGCGACACACCCGCAUCCGCUGCAAUCGGCUUCGACGAGUGCCAAAAAGAGCCCACACGAGUUCCCAUUCCCAGAUUUACGAUCCGUAGAAGCAUUUAAUGGCGAAGUAAGAACGUAUUGUUCUGCCAGUCGCGUAGCGACAAAACAAUGACGCAUCGAAAAAACGUUUUCAGAUACAAAUUAUUAUAUCCUUAAAAACAACACAACUAAGUUAAGAGACUGGUGACUGCGCAACUAAACAUGAAAAUGCAAAAUGCCCGUGAUUUCCGUCUCACGAAGAAAUGACGCAGAAAAUCCUUCGACGAUAGCGUUAAAUAUAUCAGCCGCCCACUUUGUAAGAUGGUUUAUUCGUUCUUCGUACACAUGUGUAUGGGGAAAUCCCACGCUGCCCAAUAAAGUCUCUUUUCCAUGCAUACGAAUGC
Long non-coding RNA from Ooceraea biroi (clonal raider ant), 768 nucleotides. RefSeq lists it as uncharacterized. The record is from RefSeq and is a predicted model, not a curated record. NCBI's taxonomy places the organism in Eukaryota, Metazoa, Arthropoda, Insecta, Hymenoptera, Formicidae.